Molecule: ribosomal RNA, 254 nt
Filed under: uncultured bacterium
Lineage: Bacteria
Description: partial 16S ribosomal RNA
Rfam family: Bacterial small subunit ribosomal RNA
Source: RNAcentral
UACGGAGAGUGCAAGCGUUGUUCGGAAUUAUUGGGCGUAAAGCGCGUGUAGGUGGCUCAACAAGUCUGGCGUGAAAGCCUAGGGCUCAACCCUAGAAGUGCGCUGGAAACUGUCGAGCUUGAGUACCGGAGGGGAAGGUGGAAUUCUCGAGUGUAGAGGUGAAAUUCGUAGAUAUUCGGAAGAACAUCAGUGGCGAAGGCGACCUUCUGGACGGAUACUGACACUGAGACGCGAAAGCGUGGGUAGCAAACAGG